Molecule: non-coding RNA, 283 nt
Organism: Chiloscyllium plagiosum (whitespotted bambooshark)
Lineage: Eukaryota; Metazoa; Chordata; Chondrichthyes; Orectolobiformes; Hemiscylliidae
Source: RefSeq, a predicted model, not a curated record
AACAGCCACGGUUAUGAAAUCACUAAGACCUUUGGUGGUAAAUUCACCUUAAUUUCCCCAGUUUGGCUUCAGAUCCAGAGGAAGGGAGUUCAGCUUUAUUACGUCACUGGCCACCACGACAUAGACCAAGGGUGGAUGAAGAAUGUGAAAGCAGAAUUUGAAGCAGUCCGUUUUGUACCCCGGAUUUUGUUUGAUUCCUGGACAUACCGUGACUAUGAAAGUCUUUUUAACAGCGAGGAUGAAAUCGAAGAGCUCUCAGAAGCGUUGGUGCAGACAGCACAGG